CCCAGCCGCAACGCCUCUAGCAGGUGGGUAGCAACGGCCUCCACCGCUGCGUCCUGCGUCGCCAUGGAGACGCGGCCGGCCCCGCCUCCCUCCCGGCCGGAAAGAUGGGGAGCUGGGACUGGCAAGGCGGACGGCGCGGGAGGAGCCACUGGCAGCCUUUGCGUACUGUCAUAGCAACGGGAAGGGCGCCUCGACCAAUCACCGCCCGGGAAUAGAGAGAGGCGGGGCGGAAGGGACGAGGUGGAGCCAGUGGCAGCACUGGGGUGCAGUCAUAGCAACGAGGGGCCGCCUUGGCCAAUCACUGCUCGGGAAGGGAGGGGGGCGGGGACUGGGCAGGGCCUGGGCGGGUUCCGUGCCUGGCUGCCCACCGGGUCUCUGACCUGGACCUCGCUGUCGCUGGCCCCUGAAAUCCAUCACUUUAGUCGGCUGUUCUGUGACGCCGCAACAAGGAGCCACCUGGGUACUGGGCCUUCAAGAGGAGGGACGCGGGAAGCGCGUCCGGGCCAACUCUCGAGUGGGUUUCACCCCUGCCCAGUGCGGGCACUGCACGCUCCCUUCCGUCCCCGGGCCUCGCAGGCCCCUCCGGGGGUGCUGCCCAUCCCCACUUACUUUCUAGGCUCUUCGGACCCUUCGGGGUUCGCGGAUCGCAGAGAUGUGUCCGCCAAGAUCUCUUCUUUGGUCCGUAAACAACUUCACUCUCAAGGAGGCAGCUCUGGCCUCUCAGCAGGAGCUGGGGAGGAGUGACUGAAUAACCACAGGAUUUAGUCUUGAUGGCAGAAUCCCAGAAGCCAAAUCCACGUGGUGAAUAAGCUGCUGAUCUUUCAGAGCACACAUCCCCUGGAGAAUCUUCCCAAUGCUAAUAUGAAAGUUUACAACCAUAACCCAUCAUCAGGCCCAAAUAUAUUACUUACUGAAUAAAUACACAAGUUACAAGCAACACACAAGAAUCCAAAAUUAUGUCGUUUUUUAGUUGCAAAGAUAAAAAUGUUGUAAACACCAAAAUUUAACAGCUUUUCUUAUGGGGAAAAGUGGGGAGUUGGGGAUAAUAAAUGAUUAUUAUUUUCUUCUCUACAUAUUGGCAAAGUUACUACAAUUGAGCAUGUCUUAUUUUUAUAAUAAAAUGCCAAAAGUAUUUUAAAUGUUAAAAAUGUAGAAUGGUAACAUAAUCAAGUAUAUGCAAAUAAAUAGUCAUUUUUUACAUUUAAAAUGUCAGAAAUUCAACUUUCAAAUUUGUCCUAACAAUGACAGUAACCAAUGUUUACUAAGUUCUGACACUGCAUGUGGGCGCUGUUUUAAGAAUUUUAUGAGUUAUCUUAUUAAAUCCUCACUAUCAUUUCUCCAUUGUAAAUCUAAGGAAAGGGAGUUAUAGAGGGGUAUAAACUAAAAAUAACCUCCUAAGCCCCACUACAGCCAACUGAAUGGACCCCCUCUUGACCAAGGGGACCCCAGAAACCUUAAAAACUGAGUUAUCAGCCAUGAUGGGAAGGGAGGUCAGAAAUGCCUCACUAAUACCCUUUUGCCGUUUAGACACAACAACUAACCAGCAUUAAUGUUAAACUAGAGAUCAUAAGACUGACAGAAUGGACUCUGUGGCAGUAAGAUACCAACUUAUAAACAGAACCUAAGGCCAUGCCAGGCAUGAGUUAAGUCAUGCACCCCUAUACUUAAAAGAAUAAACUAUAUUUUAACUACUUGGAAAAGGUCUUAUGAUUCAUGUUUCACAUUUUGCACUUGAGUAAAAAAUCUUACUGUGAAUCUCUCAAAUCUUAUCAUGAGUUCCUCAGACUGUUGAUGUACUAAUUAAUACGUAACGACUGACACUGAAAAGGAUACUGAUUUGUUUCUAAAUCAUGACAUUUCACUGAUUGUCUUGUGCAUACGCAGAAAACAUUUUAGCCUGUAUGUUGUUAUCCGUAGCCAUUGAUUGUAACCUCUAUAUCGUCCCUCCAAUGAAAAAAGACAACUCCAAUAUGAGGAGUCCCCUUCCCAUUCCUCAACUUUCUUAUAAAACCAUUGCAACUUGUAACAGACUUUGGAACACACUCAACUUUGUUGCUGUGCCUUCCCCAUUCAAUCUUCAAAUUUGACUUUCAAUAAGCCUUUAUCAAUUUCUGCCUCAACAGCCUUAACUUUGGCCCACAGCAGUUAAGAUCAUUGCCCAAGAUCAUACAGCCAGUGGGAUUCAAAUCGAGCCAUCAGACCCAAGAGCAACUGUUGCUCAUCACUAUACUGCCUCCCAGAUCUGUGAUAAAGAAAUAACUAGUUUUCUGGCAGUGACUGUAAAGCAUCUACCAAGCAGAGGACCACUGGUUCAAAUGCCUUGGAUUGCAAACACCAGGGAGUGGCUUAAGCAAACUACAUGGUUAAGCAAACCCUGCUCUGGAUCACAUCCUUAGCAACUAGACAUCUAGCUACAGCUAUUAAAUCCUAAGGUUUACAAUUUGAUCUCUAUCCCGUACAAAUUUGCCAGGGUCUUCCCUCCCAAAUCUUUCAAUCUAUAGUAAUUUCACUACACUGUAGGUUUAGCAAUUAUCCAAAUAAUUGACAAAGGCAAGAAGGGGUGAACAACAGGAUGGGCCUCCCAGCACCUCCUGCAGCAGCACCUGGACUGGAUUCUAAAUUCCUCUUUCCAGAAAGAAGCUGCACCCCAGCCCAGAUUCAGCUGAAAGCCACAGCUGCCAAGAGGCAGUCGGAGCGCUGGGCACCUCUCUGCGCACCCAGGAAACCCAAGGAGGACUUCAUCAAGCCAAGCGGAUGCCUCACUCAGAGCCCCAGGAUCCCUGACCCCUGACCCCACAGUGACCUGGAAAUGCCGGGUAAUGCCAGAAGCAGCGCUUUCCAAUUCUGAAGGCCCUCAAAAUGCUUGCUCAGCCCAUCUUCCUCCUUUCCUGGGGCGUGGGAGUGGUGGGAAGAUGAGAGGCAGAAAGACGAGGACAUCAUCAGAAGGUUUUUCCUUACUGGAAAAUGAGAGGAAAUCCUCUUCCACCGCUUAAAAAUCAAAAGGGGCUGCCCAUCUUCCUCUGGCAGGGGUCUCCCAUCAUCCCCCGCGAGGCCUUCCCAUUAUCCCCUGCGGGGCUUUCCCAUCAUCCACAGAGGCCCUUCCCAUAACCCCCAAGCGGGAAGUUCGUGCAAGUGCCGCUCUGCAGGGAGGAGUGAGGGCCUAGGGGAACGCCCUCAGGAGAGUGGAGGGCAGCAGUGGCCGCGGUUCCUCUGCACUUCGUUUCUUCAGUAAGAAAUGAUCUUCUUGUCCUUCUUACGUAGAAAUGGAGCGAUCCAUUUCCUUUUACCCAUUAACCCCUUCAAAAAGAAGAAAAACAGUCCCAGGCCGGCCAUGGUUGAUCUCUGCAGAGGGGCUGGUCAGGGUGCCUUCUGCUUCCUGGUGGGAUGGCCAAGGCCAGGGAAACUGUUGAAACCACCCUGGGGCUGCCUUCUGUAUUUUCCACAACCUUCCAGGCCCACCUCCCAGCUGGAGGCCCUGCAGCUUGGCAGUUGCCAUGGCGACUGAGUCCCUAAGAGUGUCUCUUCUGAGCUCUCCUGGACAGUGUGGAGAAAAGGCCUUAAGAACUGAGGGGCUUCGGUAAAAUGCAAACAGAUUUUUUUUGAAGUUUUGUAGGCACUGUUCAGAUAAAAAGCAGGGACUUUCAACAAAAUGAGUUCAGGCCUAUUUUAACUAUAGAACUAUGAGGUUGUUUAUUAGAAUAAUUGUACUCUGGUAAAUUUACCAAUUUCAUAUAUAUGCAUAUUAAUAAACAAAUAUAUUAGCGUAUAUAGAUAGAAAAAGUUCUAUCUACAUGUACAAUUGAAAACUUUUUAAAACAGUGUUAGUAGUAUCACAUAUUAGCAUUUAGAGGAUAGAGACAGACCCGGGAUUGGAGCCCUAGCUCCAUAUACUUCUUUCUGAAGUCAGUCUACUCAUAUGUAAAAUGGGCUGUUGUGAGGUCAAAAUUAGAUAUUCAUAAUGAGAGUAGCACAGUGCCUAGCACACAGUAAAGCACUUAGUAAAUGGGAGCUAUUACUAUUAAUUGUACUGUUGUUAAUCUUAUAAUAGGUUAAGCACCUUUUGGCUAUCAGUAUGUUUGGGGGAGAAUUUUAACUCGUUUGUCUUAAUCGUUUUCAGUAGAGGUUUUUUCUUGAAAAGAAUCAAACUGCCAAAGAUGAUUCAGUCAGAUAGUUGUUUGUGACAAUCAGAAGUUAGUCUGUGAUGAACAGUUUAGUUUUAAUGCUCAUGUUCAUUAGCACUAAUAUACAUAAGGGUGGGGAGAGACUGAAGCUUCUGGAUAUAUAUAGACAGGUAGAUUCUUAAGUGUAAGUAGGUAUUUGAACUGUUUGUGGAUUAUGUCUCAUAAAGUUGGCACCCAGCAAGGAGGAAAAUGCCAGAUACACACACGCCCAUUCCUGAGGUAUGUAGGUCAGUGGAAGGCUAUUGAAACACAGCUGUCAAGAGAGAAAUGUAAAUUAUUUUUCACCCAGGAAGUGAGAUUAUUCCAUAAUGUAUCAUAACCAGUAGGGGAAAUAGUUUAGUGGACACCUGUGUGGAGACAAGAGAUGUCAGAAAAUUGGAUAGACUCAAAUUUCACGUUGGGUAGCAACUCAAGGACAUAGCUCAGUGCUUGGCACAUAGUAAGUGCUCAACUAACACAGGUUUAUCAAAUUGAGUGUUAGAUAUUAUCUUGCAACAGAGCUGUGCUUUAUGCAGCAUUAGGAAAAGAGAAAAAAGUGAUGUGAAUUUUUUUU
Molecule: long non-coding RNA, 4734 nt
Filed under: Papio anubis (olive baboon)
Lineage: Eukaryota; Metazoa; Chordata; Mammalia; Primates; Cercopithecidae
Description: lncRNA (ENSPANG00000044988.1)
Source: RNAcentral